Molecule: ribosomal RNA, 451 nt
Filed under: uncultured bacterium
Lineage: Bacteria
Description: partial 16S ribosomal RNA
Rfam family: Bacterial small subunit ribosomal RNA
Source: RNAcentral
GAUGAACGCUGGCGGCGUGCCUAACACAUGCAAGUCGAGCGGCAGCGCGGGGUUCUUGCUCCCUGUCGGCGAGCGGCGGACGGCUGAGUAACGCGUGGGAACGUGCCCCAAAGUGAGGAAUAACUGCCCGAAAGGGUAGCUAAUCCCGCAUCUUAUCUUCGGAUCAAAGGAUUUAUCCGCUUUGGGAGGGGCUCGCGUCGGAUUAGGUAGUUGGUUAGGUAAUGGCUCACCAAGCCGACGAUCCGUAGCUGGUCUGAGAGGAUGACCAGCCAGACUGGAACUGAGACACGGUCCAGACUCCUACGGGAAGGAGGAGUGAGGAAUCUUCCAAAAUGGGCGAAAGGCUGAUGGAGCAACGCCGCGUGCAGGACGAAGGCGUGAGGGUUGUAAACUGCUUUUAUAAGUGAGGAAUAUGACGGUAACUUAUGAAUAAGGAUCGGCUAACUACGUG